RNAcentral lists this small RNA (127 nucleotides) under Marmota monax (woodchuck). The record is from RNAcentral. Lineage: Eukaryota; Metazoa; Chordata; Mammalia; Rodentia; Sciuridae.
GCUAGGUAUGGUGGCACAUACCUGUCAUCCCAGUGGCUUGGAAGGCUGAGGCAGGAGGAUUGCAGGUUGGAGGCCAGCCUCUGCAAAUCAGCAAGGCCCUGAGCAACUCAGUGAGACCCUGUCUCUG